Limulus polyphemus (Atlantic horseshoe crab) is the source of this 375-nucleotide long non-coding RNA. RefSeq lists it as uncharacterized. Lineage: Eukaryota; Metazoa; Arthropoda; Merostomata; Xiphosura; Limulidae. The transcript is spliced from 3 exons. The record is from RefSeq and is a predicted model, not a curated record.
GAAAGUAUGUUAAAGACCAAAAACUUGUUCGAGAAGAAAUAUCCCGAGUGUCUUCCAAGAAAAUACUGAAGGUGCAGGAUGAAACUGCAGCACUCAAGCAAUUGUUAUCUGAAGUUUCAAAUGGUUUACAGAGGAAUGCAGUGGCCAUUCAAAGAAUGAAAGAGGAAUCAGCUCAGGAAUUAAAAGAUGCAGAGAUUGCUCACAGAACAAAGGACACUCCCCCAGCACUACAGUUUGAAAACACAGCUCCAACAGGAUAUUUCCAAAGAAUAGUUUCCAGUUUUGAAAAACAGAUGCAUACUUGUCAACAGCAGAUUGAACAGCUUGAAAGGCAUCUGAUGUCUCUUUCUCAACCAUCAGUCUUAUCACCCCAAG